GAGUUUGAUCAUGGCUCAGGAUGAACGCUGACGGCGUGCUUAACACAUGCAAGUCGAACGGACUCAUGUUGAAACCUAGUGAUGUAUGAGUUAGUGGCGGACGGGUGAGUAACGCGUGGAGAACCUGCCGUAUACUGGGGGAUAACACUUAGAAAUAGGUGCUAAUACCGCAUAAGCGCACAGCUUUGCAUGAAGCAGUGUGGAAAACAAAAAGCUAAAGCUUUUGGUGGUAUACGAUGGAUCCGCGUCUGAUUAGCUGGUUGGCGGGGUAAAGGCCCACCAAGGCGACGAUCAGUAGCCGGCCUGAGAGGGUGAACGGCCACAUUGGGACUGAGACACGGCCCAAACUCCUACGGGAGGCAGCAGUGGGGAAUAUUGCACAAUGGGGGAAACCCUGAUGCAGCGACGCCGCGUGAGUGAAGAAGUAUUUCGGUAUGUAAAGCUCUAUCAGCAGGGAAGAAAAUGACGGUACCUGACUAAGAAGCCCCGGCUAACUACGUGCCAGCAGCCGCGGUAAUACGUAGGGGGCAAGCGUUAUCCGGAUUUACUGGGUGUAAAGGGAGCGUAGACGGCAGCGCAAGUCUGGAGUGAAAUCCCAUGGCUUAACCAUGGAACUGCUUUGGAAACUGUGCAGCUAGAGUGCAGGAGAGGUAAGCGGAAUUCCUAGUGUAGCGGUGAAAUGCGUAGAUAUUAGGAGGAACACCAGUGGCGAAGGCGGCUCACUGGACUGUAACUGACGUUGAGGCUCGAAAGCGUGGGGAGCAAACAGGAUUAGAUACCCUGGUAGUCCACGCCGUAAACGAUGAUUACUAGGUGUCGGGGGGCCAAGGCCCUUCGGUGCCGGCGCAAACGCAUUAAGUAAUCCACCUGGGGAGUACGUUCGCAAGAAUGAAACUCAAAGGAAUUGACGG
This 911-nucleotide ribosomal RNA is filed under the name uncultured bacterium. Its description in RNAcentral is "bacterial SSU rRNA". It matches the Rfam family "Bacterial small subunit ribosomal RNA", at positions 9 to 916 of the family's 1533-position model. The record is from RNAcentral.